AUUUUAAGUAAAAAACGCAUGUCCUGCAUAAAAAACACACACACUUGAAACAGUUCACAAAAAAGACAUGAAUGCCAAUGAUGAUUUCAUUUGUUGUCAGAAGAUAAAAAAUUAACAAAAAAUAAUGUUCUUCACGAUGGCUACAAGAUUUUUGGAUUGAAUAAGAGCCAUAAAUCUCAAUGUAUCGUUAUCAGUCCAAUUAUUUUUGACGUCAGAUGAAAUACCUAAAAAAUAUAUUUGUAAAUCAUGCACGUUUACAGUAAACCAAAAACGUAAAUAGUGCAAGGUACAUUACCAACUAAUUUAGCUUUGAUUGCUUGAUAAGGUAAAUCACAAAAUCCUUCUUGUAAGGGUUGCAUGUUUUUCAAUGUCACUAUUCUAUAGUCACCAUAAUCACAUGCAUAAACUCCAAAUUGUGUUUUACUUAUAAUCUUAUAUACAUAAGCUCUAAAACAGAAUAAAUAUCAAACUUAAUAACUAA
This is a long non-coding RNA of Nasonia vitripennis (jewel wasp), 481 nucleotides long. RefSeq lists it as uncharacterized. The transcript has 2 exons. The record is from RefSeq and is a predicted model, not a curated record. Lineage: Eukaryota; Metazoa; Arthropoda; Insecta; Hymenoptera; Pteromalidae.